GCCUAAGGCGAGGCUGAAGAGCGUAGCCGAUGGACAACAGGUUAAUAUUCCUGUACCGCGUAAGGUUGAUUGAGCGAAGGGGUGACGUGGAAGGGUAAGUAGGCCAGCCGUUGGUCGUGCUGGUGCUAAGCUUGUAGGCGUUGAGAGUGGGGUUAGAAGACCACUUGAGCUGAGGAGUGAUGGCGAGUCCGCAAGGGCAGAAGCUACCGAACCCAUGCCACCAAGAAAAGCCUCUAGUGAGACCUGCGUGACCGUACCGCAAACCGACACAGGUAGAUGGGUUGAGAAUACUAAGGGGAACGGGAGAACCUUCGUUAAGGAAUUAGGCAAACUAGAUCCGUAACUUCGGGAUAAGGAUCGCCUCGGUAGGCUGAAAGGGUGAACACCCUGGAGGUUGAAGAGGCCGCAGAGAAAUGGCUCUAUCAACUGUUUAUCAAAAACACAGGUCUGUGCGAAGUCGUAAGACGAAGUAUACAGGCUGACGCCUGCCCAGUGCCGGAAGGUUAAGGGGAGAGGUUAACGCUUCGAACUGAAGCCCCGGUGAACGGCGGCCGUAACUAUAACGGUCCUAAGGUAGCGAAAUUCCUUGUCGGGUAAGUUCCGACCCGCACGAAAGGCGUAAUGAAUGGAGCACUGUCUCAACGAAGGACCCGGUGAAACUGAAAUAGGAGUGAAGAUGCUUCUUACCCGCAGCAGGACAAAAAGACCCCGUGGAGCUUUACUGUAGCUUGACAUUGGGUUAGGACUUAAACUGUGUAGGAUAGGUGGGAGACUGUGAAGCUGGACCGCCAGGUUCGGUGGAGUCGCCGGUGAAAUACCACUCUGUUUAAGUUUUGAUUCUAACCUUACCCGUAAGCCGGGUAGGGGACCGUGUCAGGUGGGCAGUUUGACUGGGGCGGUCGCCUCCCAAAGAGUAACGGAGGCGUGCAAAGGUUCCCUCAGGCUGAAUGGAAACCAGUCGUAGAGUGCAAACGCAUAAGGGAGCUUGACUGCGAGACCCACAAGUCGAGCAGAGACGAAAGUCGGCGUUAGUGAUCCUAUGGCACCGAAUGGAAGGGCCAUGGCUCAUCGGAUAAAAGCUACCCCGGGGAUAACAGGCUAGUCUCUCCCAAAAGUUCACAUCGACGGGGAGGCUCGGCACCUCGAUGUCGGCUCGUCACAUCCUGGGGCUGAAGUCGGUCCCAAGGGUUGGGCUGUUCGCCCAUUAAAGUGGUACGCGAGCUGGGUUCAGACCGUCGUGAGACAGGUCGGUCUCUAUCCGCUGUGGGCGUAAGGGAAUUGAGAGGAUCUGCCCCUAGUACGAGAGGACCGGGGUGGACGGACCGCUGGUGUGCCAGUUGUCGUGCCAACGGCAUGGCUGGGUAGCUAAGUCCGGGAUGGAUAACCGCUGAAAGCAUCUAAGUGGGAAGCCAGCCUCGAGAUGAGUUCCCUCACAGGGUAACCUGGUAAGUGCGCUGGAAGACGACCAGCUUGAUAGGCGGUACGUGGAAGGGCCGUGAGGUCUGGAGCGAAACCGUACUAAUGCACGAGGGCUUAAUCC
Molecule: ribosomal RNA, 1540 nt
Filed under: metagenome
Description: bacterial LSU rRNA
Rfam family: Bacterial large subunit ribosomal RNA
Source: RNAcentral